UACAGAGGGGGCAAGCGUUGUUCGGAAUUACUGGGCGUAAAGCGCGUGUAGGCGGCAGGGUAUGUCGGAUGUGAAAUCCCGUGGCUCAACCACGGAAGUGCACCCGAAACUACCCAGCUUGAGUCUCGGAGAGGAAGGCGGAAUGCUUGGUGUAGAGGUGAAAUUCGUAGAUAUCAAGCGGAACACCGGUGGCGAAGGCGGCCUUCUGGACGAUGACUGACGCUGAGACGCGAAAGCGUGGGGAGCAAACAGG
RNAcentral lists this ribosomal RNA (253 nucleotides) under uncultured bacterium. RNAcentral's name for it is "partial 16S ribosomal RNA". It matches the Rfam family "Bacterial small subunit ribosomal RNA", at positions 524 to 776 of the family's 1533-position model. The record is from RNAcentral.